CUGCCCACCUGUGAUGUCACAGUAAGGAGGGGCUUUUCUUCUGCAGACUCCUCCCUCGGUAUCUCCUUCAUCACCAUGGCAACAGCCUUAUCUGCAGCCCUAGAGCCUUUUCCCUACAACAGUGAAACCAACAACGAAUGUGUCAGGAGGCGUCUUGAAGACCAUGAAGAAACGAAGACUGGAAGGUAAAGCAGGAAGAACUACCAGUCAGACCAAAGCCACAAGCCCCGAGUCUGUUUCUAGCUACUAUGCUUGCUGGCUUUCUGCAGUGCUGUGAUUGGAAGCAGAAUCUGUCAAAACCAGAUCCACAGACUCAGCCAUGCUGCCUGUCAAUAUCGGCAUCCACAUUUGCAGUGAGGCCCUUUGCUGUACUAGUAGGUCCCACUGGACAUUUAGGAUUUAUACUGCCAUUUACUUCCUCCUUGGACAAAAGCCUAUGGAUUCCUGGCAGCCUGUUUGGAUAAACCCCCUUGUCAUAUAGGCCCAUGUCUGGGUGGAGUGAGAGCCAGGAUCUGUGCCCUAUAUCUGGCCUUAAGUUCAUGGCCUUUUCUCUGCCCCGACACAGUUAUGUUAAAAUCCUGGUCUUUUAAAAUGCCAUGGAAGUGAUUCAUUAGUAAAACUCCCUCUCUACACCUCA
Long non-coding RNA from Peromyscus eremicus (cactus mouse), 637 nucleotides. RefSeq lists it as uncharacterized. The transcript has 2 exons. The record is from RefSeq and is a predicted model, not a curated record. Lineage: Eukaryota; Metazoa; Chordata; Mammalia; Rodentia; Cricetidae.